UACAUAGGGGGCGAGCGUUAUCCGGAAUUAUUGGGUGUAAAGGGUGCGUAGACGGGAGUGCAAGUUGGUUGUGAAAUCCCUCGGCUUAACUGAGGAACUGCAACCAAAACUAUGCUUCUUGAGUGCGGGAGAGGAAAGUGGAAUUCCUAGUGUAGCGGUGAAAUGCGUAGAUAUUAGGAGGAACACCAGUGGCGAAGGCGACUUUCUGGACCGUAACUGACGUUGAGGCACGAAAGUGUGGGGAGCAAAC
RNAcentral lists this ribosomal RNA (250 nucleotides) under uncultured prokaryote. RNAcentral's name for it is "partial 16S ribosomal RNA". It matches the Rfam family "Bacterial small subunit ribosomal RNA", at positions 524 to 773 of the family's 1533-position model. The record is from RNAcentral.